ACGCUGGCGGCGUGCCUAAUACAUGCAAGUCGAGCGGACAGAUGGGAGCUUGCUCCCUGAUGUUAGCGGCGGACGGGUGAGUAACACGUGGGUAACCUGCCUGUAAGACUGGGAUAACUCCGGGAAACCGGGGCUAAUACCGGAUGGUUGUCUGAACCGCAUGGUUCAGACAUAAAAGGUGGCUUCGGCUACCACUUACAGAUGGACCCGCGGCGCAUUAGCUAGUUGGUGAGGUAACGGCUCACCAAGGCGACGAUGCGUAGCCGACCUGAGAGGGUGAUCGGCCACACUGGGACUGAGACACGGCCCAGACUCCUACGGGAGGCAGCAGUAGGGAAUCUUCCGCAAUGGACGAAAGUCUGACGGAGCAACGCCGCGUGAGUGAUGAAGGUUUUCGGAUCGUAAAGCUCUGUUGUUAGGGAAGAACAAGUGCCGUUCAAAUAGGGCGGCACCUUGACGGUACCUAACCAGAAAGCCACGGCUAACUACGUGCCAGCAGCCGCGGUAAUACGUAGGUGGCAAGCGUUGUCCGGAAUUAUUGGGCGUAAAGGGCUCGCAGGCGGUUUCUUAAGUCUGAUGUGAAAGCCCCCGGCUCAACCGGGGAGGGUCAUUGGAAACUGGGGAACUUGAGUGCAGAAGAGGAGAGUGGAAUUCCACGUGUAGCGGUGAAAUGCGUAGAGAUGUGGAGGAAUCAUCCAGUGGCGAAGGCGACUCUCUGGUCUGUAACUGACGCUGAGGAGCGAAAGCGUGGGGAGCGAACAGGAUUAGAUACCCUGGUAGUCCACGCCGUAAACGAUGAGUGCUAAGUGUUAGGGGGUUUCCGCCCCUUAGUGCUGCAGCUAACGCAUUAAGCACUCCGCCUGGGGAGUACGGUCGCAAGACUGAAACUCAAAGGAAUUGACGGGGGCCCGCACAAGCGGUGGAGCAUGUGGUUUAAUUCGAAGCAACGCGAAGAACCUUACCAGGUCUUGACAUCCUCUGACAAUCCUAGAGAUAGGACGUCCCCUUCGGGGGCAGAGUGACAGGUGGUGCAUGGUUGUCGUCAGCUCGUGUCGUGAGAUGUUGGGUUAAGUCCCGCAACGAGCGCAACCCUUGAUCUUAGUUGCCAGCAUUCAGUUGGGCACUCUAAGGUGACUGCCGGUGACAAACCGGAGGAAGGUGGGGAUGACGUCAAAUCAUCAUGCCCCUUAUGACCUGGGCUACACACGUGCUACAAUGGACAGAACAAAGGGCAGCGAAACCGCGAGGUUAAGCCAAUCCCACAAAUCUGUUCUCAGUU
Molecule: ribosomal RNA, 1279 nt
Filed under: bacterium BHEP20
Lineage: Bacteria
Description: bacterial SSU rRNA
Rfam family: Bacterial small subunit ribosomal RNA
Source: RNAcentral